AUGAUCACUACUCAGUCCCAGACACUCCUUACAUUUAUGAGCGCAAUUGUUGGUACAUCAUUAGGCGUAAUGGUACAUGCAGUCACAGGGGGUCCAUGCAAAGUAUCUUCCACAGUUGAUGCACCGCACUGCAUGUAUGUAUGUAGUACUUCCACCAACCAGGUACUGAGAUCGCAUUCUACACAAAUCACACCCAAUCCGAGCAUGGAAACUGACGCAGCGAAAUCAAUGAACUCCUUAAACAUGGCCGCAAUUCCCUACGGAUCAGGGACUUCACAAUGGUACCUGUAUCUCAGAGUACACAGAGUAACCUUUGAUGCCAGCUUAAUCUGUUGUCAUCCUGUAACAGUUUAUUUCUACAUCUCCUUUAUAACAUUGCCAGAAUCUUCCUUCGUAGGGACUCCUUUUUCUAAACCUACUAUAUGUUGUUUUCGGGGCUCUGCUACUGCCUAUAUUUGGUGA
Molecule: ribosomal RNA, 462 nt
Filed under: Triticum aestivum (bread wheat)
Lineage: Eukaryota; Viridiplantae; Streptophyta; Magnoliopsida; Poales; Poaceae
Description: partial small subunit ribosomal RNA
Source: RNAcentral